GGAUGUGAGGGCGAUCUGACUUUGACAUGUCACCCCAUUGAUUGCCAGGGUUGAUUCAGCUCAUCUGGAUGGCUAGGCAGGUGUCCCCCUCCUCCCUCAGCACUCCAUGUAUGUCUCUCCCAAAGCUGUGUGCUCCCCAAAUAGAGGAGGACCGGUCUUUGGUCAAGGAUAUACAAGUAGCAGGGCUCCCCUGCUAGAACCUCCAACAAAAAGACUUUGCUCUUGAAAAACAAAACAAAACUAAGCAAAACAACAAAAAAAUUGACUU
This 268-nucleotide small nuclear RNA is filed under the name Meriones unguiculatus (Mongolian gerbil). RNAcentral describes it as "7SK RNA (ENSMUGG00000025382.1)". It matches the Rfam family "7SK RNA". Rfam says of the family: 7SK was discovered as an abundant small nuclear RNA in the mid-70s but a possible function has only recently been suggested. Two independent studies have found that 7SK RNA binds the CDK9/cyclin T complex (known as elongation factor P-TEFb). The record is from RNAcentral. Lineage: Eukaryota; Metazoa; Chordata; Mammalia; Rodentia; Muridae.